UCCUACGGGGGGCAGCAGUGAGGAAUAUUGGUCAAUGGGCGGAAGCCUGAACCAGCCAAGUCGCGUGAGGGAAUAAGGCCCUACGGGUCGUAAACCUCUUUUGCCGGGGAGCAAGGGCGGGGACGUGUCCCGGCCCGGAGAGUACCCGGAGAAAAAGCAUCGGCUAACUCCGUGCCAGCAGCAGCGGUAAUACGGAGGAUGCGAGCGUUAUCCGGAUUUAUUGGGUUUAAAGGGUGCGUAGGCGGGCUUUUAAGUCAGCGGUAAAAAUUCGGGGCUCAACCCCGUGCGGACGUUGAAACUGGGGG
Molecule: ribosomal RNA, 305 nt
Filed under: uncultured bacterium
Lineage: Bacteria
Description: bacterial SSU rRNA
Rfam family: Bacterial small subunit ribosomal RNA
Source: RNAcentral